UUCUUAGCACUUGACAGAUACUCCAUGCUUGGCAAAUCUCUGUUCCUUCCCCCAGUUUUUUGACAGAGGAGGUACCUAUUUUUCCUCCCCUUAAAAAGGGCUUGCCUCAUCCCUUCCAGUCUUAGAGUUGAAGAGAGAACCUGAGGAUAUCCUCAACUGCUUCAGAGGUAUCAAUUGAGAUCAAUGAUUCUGAACAAAUUAUCCAAUCUUUCUAAAAGCUCGUACAUUGUAAGUAUUUUACAGAACCUAUCCCUGCUU
Pseudonaja textilis is the source of this 258-nucleotide non-coding RNA. The record is from RefSeq and is a predicted model, not a curated record. NCBI's taxonomy places the organism in Eukaryota, Metazoa, Chordata, Lepidosauria, Squamata, Elapidae.